GUGAGGAGUGCCCUUAAGUGGGACAACGAGCGCAACCCCUGUCUCCUGUUACAAGUGUCAGGAGAAACUGCUUCGAUAAUCAUCGGGGAGGAAGGAGGGGCAGACGUCAAGUCAUCAUGUCGCUUAUACCUUGGGCUGCACACAUGUUACAAUGAAAAGUACAAUGGGUUUAGCAACUUCGUAAGGAGAAGCAAAUCUCAUAAAACUUUUCUCAGUGGGGAUUGAGGUCUGAAAUUCGACCUCAUGAACGCGGAAUUCGUAGUAAUCGCAGGUCAGCUACACUGCGGUGAAUACGUUCUUGGGUCUUGCACUCACCGCCCGUCAAGCCACCAAAGUCGGAAGUACCUGAAAAUCCUUUCGGGGAGCUAGGGUAAGUUCGGCGAUGGGGACUAAGUCGUAACAAGGUAGCCGUUCUGGAAGGAGCGGCUGGAUCAUCUCCUUUCU
RNAcentral lists this ribosomal RNA (444 nucleotides) under Candidatus Roizmanbacteria bacterium RIFOXYA2_FULL_41_8. RNAcentral describes it as "bacterial SSU rRNA". It matches the Rfam family "Bacterial small subunit ribosomal RNA", at positions 1067 to 1533 of the family's 1533-position model. Lineage: Bacteria; Candidatus Roizmaniibacteriota. The record is from RNAcentral.